RNA transcript from Calliphora vicina (urban bluebottle blowfly), 2736 nucleotides. It is a transcript of the gene named serine and arginine rich splicing factor B52, with no coding region annotated. Lineage: Eukaryota; Metazoa; Arthropoda; Insecta; Diptera; Calliphoridae. The record is from RefSeq and is a predicted model, not a curated record. The transcript has 7 exons.
GUCUCUACGAGUGGAAAACUUUACUUCCGCUCGGUACGUCGUGAGUUUUUUAUCAUUGUUUUUAUGUGUGCUGUGAAAUAAGUGAAAAUUUUCAGAAGUAAUUAAGACAAAGAAUUUUAUUGAAAUCAAUAAAUUGUUUAGCUAAAUUUAUUUAGCAAAGCUUAACACAGACGAUAAAUAAAUAAACAAUGGUUGGUUCACGAGUAUAUGUUGGAGGUUUGCCCUAUGGUGUAAGAGAACGUGAUUUAGAGCGUUUCUUUAAAGGCUAUGGUCGAACACGCGAUAUUUUAAUUAAAAAUGGCUACGGUUUUGUGGAAUUUGAAGAUUAUCGCGAUGCGGAUGAUGCCGUUUAUGAAUUAAACGGGAAAGAGCUAUUGGGAGAAAGGGUUGUGGUUGAACCUGCCCGAGGCACUGCUCGAGGUAGCCAUAGGGAUCGUUAUGACCGCUAUGACGGUGGACGUCGUGGUGGCGGACGUUACAAUGACAAAAAUAAAAACAACAGAUCCAAUUCCCGUUAUGGACCACCAUUGCGAACUGAAUAUCGUCUUAUUGUAGAAAACUUAUCCAGUCGUGUUAGCUGGCAGUGCGUGUCCUAAACAUACAAGGUGGUGUAUCAAAUUAGGUGAACAAAAUACAAAAUGGGUCAAUUACAAUGAUGCACUUAAAACGGAAACAAUCCUAGUAAUAAUCUAUGUGGGUCCUAAAAUGUGUUAACUUCCUUAAAUUUUUGAUUUGAUGGUGACUAUCGAUCAAUAUCAAUGUCAAAGAUGGUGGCAAACAUUGACACGAAGAAAGAAAACAAUUAUAACAUUGAUAAAGCUGGUCAACGUAAUACCAAUGAUGACUAUACACAAAACGACGUUAAACGUGUGACUUUAAAAUGAAGAAAUUAUGAUCGAAGAAAUUAUGAUUGGCCAUUUGCUAAUGCUAAAUGGACAGAGAACACAUGUAUACAUACUUGUUUUAUGAUAAGAAAUAAUGAAAAAAUAAGCAAAUUCAUUUAAAUAGAGAUAAAUGAAUAUUCUUUUAUCACAGAUGCCAUUUAAGUUCAGGUUUCUUAACAUAAUUUACAUACAUAUGUAAAAAUAUUCAACGCAGAAGAUGCCUACGAAUGACAUCGCAAUCUGUUCGCUUGUAAAAAUGCCACACGUGUACUACGGAGUCUAGAAAAAUCACAUAACACAAAAGAAAAACACUAUAAUGUAGUCACUUGCUUAUAAAAAAGACAAUUUCAUCAUUGAUACCACGAGGAAGAUAAAAUAUAAAAACAAAGAGAUAAAUCCAUACAUCUCCCCGCCUACCUACUUAGUGCUUACAUAUAUGUACGUACAUGCAUCCAAAUAUGGUGGUCAUCCAUGAAAUGUUGAAGUUGUUUUAUUUUAUACGUUUGUGUUUGUGUUUAAGAAUGAGAACGAAUGAUACGAUACCAUCACUUUAGAAUUCUGAAAGCAUAUUUCGUUUUUGUCAUUUCCGAACACAAGAUUUCGGAAUACUCGAUCGAUGCAGAGGUCCGUCUAAUUUUGCGAUUGUGAACUUAAUGUGAAACAAAUAAUUACACGUUUGGAAUAAAAUACGGAUAUCUAAAUAAAGAUCCUGCGUGAAUCCUAAUCCAGCCAUGCCUCUCCAUACUAAUCACAUCAACCGGGAAAAUUCCAAGAAAUAUUAACUAGAGAUCAUUCUGACUGGCAUACAGGCAGGCAAAAACGUUCACAAGAAGACUAUUUUUAUACAUAGUGAGAGAGAGAGAGAGGGAGCAAGAAAUGAGAGGGAAUAUUUUGCUUACCAACUAUGAUUCACUUUUCUAAAUCUUGAUGACUGGCGAAACACGAUCCAUUUCUUCCUACGUUUUUUGGGCUCAACAAUUCUUUGACUGUAGAUGAAGACGACGGAGACUGGGUUUUGCUUGAAGACAAUUCAUUAAGUUGUGAAGCCAAGAAAUCUUGAGCUCUACGUCCUAACUGAGAUGAUGCUUUCAAGAUGUUUGACCACACGAAUUGGCCGGCUUAAAACACUUACAUAAACUUGUCUCUUUUUUAACUCUGAGACUUGUUACAAUUUCUCUUUUUUUCAGUAGUUGCAGUACGUUUUAAAGCGAACUGAUACAUGACUCUUUUUCCAGUGAGGUUGGCAAACUAUACUCAAACAUCCGUCCAUAGGUUCAGACUUAAAACAUUUCUUUGGCAAACAAUUUUGGCAGAUGUCAUUGGCUAAUAACUAAUGUCGCCUACUACAACCACCACCACUGUGUUCCCCCUUUCCCAAAAUAAAGACUACUGGAAGCUGGCUAAAGAAUAUAUUCAGACAGACAGUACUGAUUAACAUGGUCUGUGUUGGCUAAAUCGUACAUUAUCCGAUGUUUUAUAUUCCUCCAGCUCUUGAUUUAUAGUAUUGGUUAUAAGAAAACGUACAUUUUCUAAAUGUGUGCGCCCCCUUAAAGAUGAUGAUGUUGAUGAAGUGUUCCCUUAUCGCGAUUUUGUAGUACAAUUCCUAUGAAAAACAUGUGUGCAUCGUUCUUUUGAGGUGUGAAGAGUAUGCGUUACCACAGCUUGAAAAGACUUCAACUUUUAUGAGAAUCGGCCGCCUACUUCUAACAACUACCCUUCCCAUCACCUAUACAUACAAAAAAAAAACACGUGCCACUAGUCAAAAUUGGUCAGUUGAUCUCGUUCUGGUUCUGGUAGAUUGAUUGGUCAAUAAUAAAAACGUACCAAUAAACACAGACGUCUCGUCUCCUAU